CAGAAUUUCCCAGAGAACAGGCUGGUGAGCCCCUGGUUGAGAGGUCAGUGUGCACAAACUGAAAGGCUCAAAUGGGAGGCGAUUCUGAGCCAGUUUUGCCGUGGAGACAGACUGCCAGGGGGGCUUUCAACGGUGUAUACCCAGGAGCGCUAUCUUGAGUAUGUAUUUUCAUUCAAAAGUCACUCCCUGUAGAGGAACCCAGACGCCAUGUUGUAAGGACUCUUGGCAACAUCACGUGAUUCAUCUUGGACUUUUGGAUUCUCCAGCCCCAGUCAAGCCUCCAGCUGAUGCAGCCCCAAAUGACAUUUUGUCUGGAGCCUAAUGAGAUACCCUGAGCCAGAAGCAUCUGACUAAGCCACUCCAGGAUUCCUGACCCACAGAGAGUGAGAUAAUAAAUACUUGUUGUUAUAAGUU
Long non-coding RNA from Felis catus (domestic cat), 414 nucleotides. RefSeq lists it as uncharacterized. NCBI's taxonomy places the organism in Eukaryota, Metazoa, Chordata, Mammalia, Carnivora, Felidae. The transcript is spliced from 2 exons. The record is from RefSeq and is a predicted model, not a curated record.